GCUUAACGCGAAGAACCUUACCAAGGCUUGACAUACACGAGAACACCCUAGAAAUAGGGGACUCUUUGGACACUCGUGAACAGGUGGUGCAUGGUUGUCGUCAGCUCGUGUCGUGAGAUGUUGGGUUAAGUCCCGCAACGAGCGCAACCCUCGUUCUAUGUUGCCAGCACGUUAUGGUGGGAACUCAUGGGAUACUGCCGGGGUCAACUCGGAGGAAGGUGGGGAUGACGUCAAAUCAUCAUGCCCCUUAUGUCUUGGGCUUCACGCAUGCUACAAUGGCCGGUACAAAGGGCUGCAAUACCGUGAGGUGGAGCGAAUCCCAAAAAGCCGGUCCCAGUUCGGAUUGAGGUCUGCAACUCGACCUCAUGAAGUUGGAGUCGCUAGUAAUCGCAGAUCAGAAUGUCGCGGUGAAUACGUUCCCGGGUCUUGUACACACCGAGGUCUUGUACACACCGGGGUCUUGUACACACCGG
This 473-nucleotide ribosomal RNA is filed under the name uncultured bacterium. RNAcentral describes it as "bacterial SSU rRNA". It matches the Rfam family "Bacterial small subunit ribosomal RNA", at positions 954 to 1387 of the family's 1533-position model. The record is from RNAcentral.